This is a long non-coding RNA of Rhipicephalus sanguineus (brown dog tick), 585 nucleotides long. RefSeq lists it as uncharacterized. Lineage: Eukaryota; Metazoa; Arthropoda; Arachnida; Ixodida; Ixodidae. The record is from RefSeq and is a predicted model, not a curated record. The transcript has 3 exons.
GAGAGGGAAGAACGGUAGGCCGGCAGGCGGGAGGACGUUCGAACGUUUCAGAAACGAUGAGCUCCUCCGACUGGACGGACCUUGAACGUGAACUCCUACGGAGAAGCGAAGCGCUAAGCGUCGUUCCGUAUGACGACACGCCGCUGGAAAUUUCAGCACCGUCACCGAGAGCGACGCUACAAGAGCACGACAGUGACGAGGGCCAUGGAGAAGCACCGCGUCCCGAGGAUCCCGACGACCACGUGGAUCGCGCCAACAUAAAUUGGUGUCGAUGUGACCGGUGUGAUCACACGCCUACGGCGUCAGAGCGGCUGUUCUGCCGUGAUAUGCCACAAUGCGUAAUGCGCAAUGAACCAUGCAUUUGUGAAGAUGAUUAUUUUUUUUACGCUGUGUCUUGACACAGAAGUGCUACAUGUGGCGUACUGCGAGCUGCGAGAAAGGGGCGAGCAGCCGUUGAUGGACAUCCACAAGAGGUAUCGAUACAUUGCCUGUCGGCAGUUUACUCGUUGGAUCUGGGGCCGGCUCGGGCCAAGAAACCGGAAAGUGGUUCCUGCUUGUGCUAUUAGGCUCAUCAGAAAAAUGUUC